ACGGAAGGCAGCAGUGGGGGAUAUUGCACAAUGGGGGAAACCCUGAUGCAGCGACGCCGCGUGAGUGAUGAAGUAUUUCGGUAUGUAAAGCUCUAUCAGCAGGAAAGAUAAUGACGGUACCUGACUAAGAAGCACCGGCUAAAUACGUGCCAGCAGCCGCGGUAAUACGUAUGGUGCAAGCGUUAUCCGGAUUUAUUGGGUUUAAAGGGUGCGUAGGCUGUGCCGCAAGUCAGUGGUGAAAGCCCGGGGCUUAACUCCGGAACUGCCAUUGAUACUGUGGUGCUGGAAUACGGAUGCCGUGGGAGGAAUGAGUAGUGUAGCGGUGAAAUGCAUAGAUAUUACUCAGAACACCGAUUGCGAAGGCAUCUCACGAAUCCGUCAUUGACGCUGAGGCACGAAAGCGUGGGGAUCAAACAGGAUUAGAUACCCUGGUA
Molecule: ribosomal RNA, 434 nt
Filed under: uncultured Coprococcus sp.
Lineage: Bacteria; Bacillati; Bacillota; Clostridia; Lachnospirales; Lachnospiraceae
Description: partial 16S ribosomal RNA
Rfam family: Bacterial small subunit ribosomal RNA
Source: RNAcentral